Molecule: long non-coding RNA, 1140 nt
Filed under: Rhinopithecus bieti (black snub-nosed monkey)
Lineage: Eukaryota; Metazoa; Chordata; Mammalia; Primates; Cercopithecidae
Description: lncRNA (ENSRBIG00000045553.1)
Source: RNAcentral
GAUGAAAGGAAACAGGCAGCCUAGCCUUGGGAAUUCUAAGUUGCAAUGGAAAAAAGAGCAGUCCCAACUCUUAUCCACUUUCCUGUUGCAUGUGCUGGCCCUGUUGGGGUGGGCUGUUCACUGGGGGUUUGUUGACUUUUUGCUUCUGCUAACUGUUCACAGGAAAAAAUCAAAGCAGAAUCUCUGUGUUUUAAAAAGUACUUAGCUAAAGUAUGCAGCAAAUCUCUUUCUUCUGCCCCAUGGGGGACUGGCAAGUCCAGUGCCCAGUGGAAGCAAAGUCUCUGCACAAAGAGGUGAUGCCUUCACCCUGCAGGGCUCCUGGGGACCCCCUGGGGGAGGGACAAAUUUGGGGAACAGCAGCUGCUGAAGGCCAAGCUCCAGUGAUCUUCAGUUCUUGCUCACUGCAGAUCAAAGAAGUCUUGCUGUGUCCAGAUCACAUAAAUAUUGAAUAAGGCUGCUUGGAAUCCUUAAAAGAGUUUGGAGAGGAGGAGGAGUCCAGUGCAGAAGAUGGUAUCAGAAAAUGCUGACCCUCAGCUAAGAGCUAAUACAAAAGUCAGCAACAAAGGAAUGAGAAUGGAUCCUAUCAGGCAUGGCUUCUAUUUUCGGCUUGGAAUUUGCACACGCAUUGCUUUUAAGAGCAACCCGGUGGCGGAGGGAGACCUUCGGCGGCGCGGAGCUCUGUGUGCGGCCAGCAUUGGUUGGCUCCCAGCUCUGGGUGUCUCGGGUCACCUGAGUGCAACCCGUGAGAAGAGACAAGACCACCCAGAUGAUAUGGCCAAGCACACCCCCGCUGAGGCUGUGCGCGUCUGUGCCCCGGGCAAAGCUGGCUCGCUUCCUAGUGGUCCGCCCUGCCAGUUAUUUCAUGGCAGCCUCUUCAUUUGUAAAAGGGCCUUAAUAAUAGCUAAUCACGGGUCGUCCACGAGGCCACGCUGAGAUGAUGCAGGAGUGCAGCCAACACGGUGCCUGGCACGCGAUGCCGCUCUCGGUGGCUAAGUGGCCAUUGCUGAUGCUGCUGUCACUGUGGUCCCAUCCCCCUCACAGUACUACUGGCUCUCACAUGUAGGGGACGCAGAGCAGAGCAGCGUCCUGAGCACCACAGGAGUUCUAACCAUGACUUGCAUUUUUUAUAAUUCUGUUUUU